This 429-nucleotide ribosomal RNA is filed under the name Gemmatimonadota bacterium. RNAcentral's name for it is "Gemmatimonadetes bacterium partial 16S ribosomal RNA". It matches the Rfam family "Bacterial small subunit ribosomal RNA", at positions 355 to 776 of the family's 1533-position model. The record is from RNAcentral. Lineage: Bacteria; Pseudomonadati; Gemmatimonadota.
UAGGGAAUCUUCGGCAAUGGACGAAACUCUGACCGAGCAACGCCGCGUGAGUGAAGAAGGUUUUCGGAUCGUAAAACUCUGUUGUUAGAGAAGAACAAGGACGUUAGUAACUGAACGUCCCCUGACGGUAUCUAACCAGAAAGCCACGGCUAACUACGUGCCAGCAGCCGCGGUAAUACGUAGGUGGCAAGCGUUGUCCGGAUUUAUUGGGCGUAAAGCGAGCGCAGGCGGUUUCUUAAGUCUGAUGUGAAAGCCCCCGGCUCAACCGGGGAGGGUCAUUGGAAACUGGGAGACUUGAGUGCAGAAGAGGGGAGUGGAAUCCCAUGUGUAGCGGUGAAAUGCGUAGAUAUAUGGAGGAACACCAGUGGCGAAGGCGGCUCUCUGGUCUGUAACUGACGCUGAGGCUCGAAAGCGUGGGGAGCAAACAGG